AUGGUGGAAGGAAGGAAACAAAUUAAUGCAUUAGGCUGUAGAGAUGUAGUUGUGGCGGAAGGACGCCAAGGCCUUGCCGGCCCCGCCCCUGAUGAUGUACUGGUGGUACACCAUGGCCACGGCGGCCCCGAUGAAGGGCCCCACCCAGAAGAUCCACUGCUGGUCCCACGCCUUCUUGUUGUUGUACACCACGGCGGGGCCGAGGCUCCUGGCCGGGUUGAUGCCGGUGCCGGUGAUGGGGAUGGUGGCGAGGUGCACGAUGAGCACGGCGAACCCGAUGGGCAGCGGCGCCAGCACGGGCACGUGGGAGUCCCGCGCCUUGCGCUUCGGGUCGGUGGCGGCGAAGACGGUGUAAACGAGCACGAAGGUGCCGAUGAUCUCGGCGGCGAGCCCGGCGCCCUUGGAGUAUCCCGGCGCGAGCUCGUUGGCGCCGCCGCCGUGGCGCGCGUACUGGGCGCCGUGCACGGCCCUGACGAGGCCGGCGCCGCACAUGGCGCCGAGGCACUGCCCGACCAUGUAGAGCAGCGCGCGGACCAGGGAGACCUUGCGGGCGAGGAGGAGGCCGAAGGUGACGGCCGGGUUGAUGUGGCCGCCGGAGACGCCGGCGGUGCAGUAGACGAGGACGAAGAUCAUGCCGCCGAAGGCCCACGCGAUGCCGAGGAUGCCGGCGCCGCCGCAGCCGACGGUGCCGUCGGUCUGGCGCUUGUGGCCGAUGACUGUGGCCACGGUCACGUAGACGAAGAGGAGCGUGGCGGUGAACUCGGCAAUGACGGCGCGCCAGAGCGACCAUUUGCCCAGCUCGCCGGCGUUGAUGAGCGGCGCCGGGGGAGGGUCACGGUAGUCCUUGGCGGUGUUGUUGUUGUCGUUGUUGCCAUUGGGCACCAUGUCGAUCGAUGGAUCAGGUGGAGAUGGGUAGCUCUAGCUAGCUGA
This 930-nucleotide ribosomal RNA is filed under the name Triticum aestivum (bread wheat). Its description in RNAcentral is "partial small subunit ribosomal RNA". The record is from RNAcentral. Lineage: Eukaryota; Viridiplantae; Streptophyta; Magnoliopsida; Poales; Poaceae.